RNAcentral lists this ribosomal RNA (475 nucleotides) under uncultured Bradyrhizobium sp. Its description in RNAcentral is "bacterial SSU rRNA". It matches the Rfam family "Bacterial small subunit ribosomal RNA", at positions 1 to 526 of the family's 1533-position model. Lineage: Bacteria; Pseudomonadati; Pseudomonadota; Alphaproteobacteria; Hyphomicrobiales; Nitrobacteraceae. The record is from RNAcentral.
UAGAGUUUGAUCAUGGCUCAGAGCGAACGCUGGCGGCAGGCUUAACACAUGCAAGUCGAGCGGGCGUAGCAAUACGUCAGCGGCAGACGGGUGAGUAACGCGUGGGAACGUACCUUUUGGUUCGGAACAACACAGGGAAACUUGUGCUAAUACCGGAUAAGCCCUUACGGGGAAAGAUUUAUCGCCGAAAGAUCGGCCCGCGUCUGAUUAGCUAGUUGGUGGGGUAACGGCCCACCAAGGCGACGAUCAGUAGCUGGUCUGAGAGGAUGAUCAGCCACAUUGGGACUGAGACACGGCCCAAACUCCUACGGGAGGCAGCAGUGGGGAAUAUUGGACAAUGGGGGCAACCCUGAUCCAGCCAUGCCGCGUGAGUGAUGAAGGCCCUAGGGUUGUAAAGCUCUUUUGUGCGGGAAGAUAAUGACGGUACCGCAAGAAUAAGCCCCGGCUAACUUCGUGCCAGCCGCCGCGGUAAUUC